This 148-nucleotide small RNA is filed under the name Macaca fascicularis (crab-eating macaque). RNAcentral describes it as "Metazoan signal recognition particle RNA (ENSMFAG00000057927.1)". The record is from Rfam by way of RNAcentral. RNAcentral also lists the same sequence under 1 other name. Lineage: Eukaryota; Metazoa; Chordata; Mammalia; Primates; Cercopithecidae.
GCCAGGUGUGGUGGCGGGCACCUGUAAUCCCAGCUACUUGGGAGGCUGAGGCAGGAGAAUCGCUUGAACCCGGGAGGCAGAGGUUGCAGUGAGCCGAGAUUGCACUAUUGCACUCCAGCCUGGGUGACAGAGUGAGAUUCUGUCUCAA